UAUCUCUGUAGAGUCUGCAUAUCAAUAAGCGGAGGAAAAGAAACUAACUAGGAUUCCCUUAAGUAACGGCGAGUGAAGCGGGAAGAGCUCAAAUUUGAAAUCUUCAAGGUUUUACCUUGACGAAUUGUAGUUUAAAGAGGUGUUUUCUGUUGGAGUUUCGGUAAAAGUUCUUUGGAAUAGGACAUCAUAGAGGGUGAGAAUCCCGUAUUUGACCAUUAUUUUCAACUGUGUGAUACACUUUCAAAGAGUCGGAUUGUUUGGGAAUGCAGUCCAAAAUGGGUGGUAAAUUUCAUCUAAAGCUAAAUACUGGCGAGAGACCGAUAGCGAACAAGUACCGUGAGGGAAAGAUGAAAAGAACUUUGAAAAGAGAGUUAAACAGUACGUGAAAUUGUCAAAAGGGAAGCGUUUGACACCAGUGUUGUUUUCUCGAAAAUCAAUUAAAAAUGGCUGGAUUUUGUGUUGUAUUGACCUUAUAAGCUUUCUGCACUUUUUUCAUGUCUUUUUUAAUGCACUUUUCGUUUAACAAGUCAACAUCAAUUUCUUUUGUUGUAAAAGGGUCAUUGGAAGGUGGCUUUCUUUUCGGAGAAAGUGUUUAUAGCCUUUGACUUCUGCAAUCGGAGAGAUUGAGGUCUGCAGCGUAGAUCCUUCGGGGUUAGAUGCAUCUGUGCUAAGUUAUAGCCUUUCAUAGACAACUUGUUGACUAUGAUCAGUCAUGUAGCUACUCGCUUAUGUCAUUUUACCUACGCUUAGGAUGUUGAUCUCUCACAGUCGAGC
RNAcentral lists this ribosomal RNA (774 nucleotides) under uncultured Neocallimastigales. RNAcentral's name for it is "partial large subunit ribosomal RNA". It matches the Rfam family "Eukaryotic large subunit ribosomal RNA", at positions 24 to 645 of the family's 3401-position model. The record is from RNAcentral. Lineage: Eukaryota; Fungi; Neocallimastigomycota; Neocallimastigomycetes; Neocallimastigales.